GACGAACGCUGGCGGCGUGCUUAACACAUGCAAGUCGAGCGGAAAGGCCCUUUCGGGGGUACUCGAGCGGCGAACGGGUGAGUAACACGUGGGUAAUCUGCCCCUGGCUUUGGGAUAGCCACCGGAAACGGUGAUUAAUACCGGAUACGACCACUUCUCGCAUGGGAUGGUGGUGGAAAGUUUUUCGGCCAGGGAUGUGCUCGCGGCCUAUCAGCUUGAUGGUGAGGUAAUGGCUCACCAUGGCUUCGACGGGUAGCCGGCCUGAGAGGUUGACCGGGCACACUGGGACGGGGACACGGCCCAGACUCCUACGGGAGGCAGAAGGGGGGAAUAUUGGACAAUGGGCGGAAGCCUGAUCCAGCAACGCCGCGUGAGGGAUGACGGCCUUCGGGUUGUAAACCUCUUUCAGCAGGGACGAAGCUCAAGUGACGGUACCUGCAGAAGAAGCACCGGCCAACUACGUGCCAGCCGCCGCCGUAA
RNAcentral lists this ribosomal RNA (480 nucleotides) under uncultured bacterium. Its description in RNAcentral is "partial 16S ribosomal RNA". It matches the Rfam family "Bacterial small subunit ribosomal RNA", at positions 28 to 523 of the family's 1533-position model. The record is from RNAcentral.